AACGAACGCUGGCGGCAUGCUUAACACAUGCAAGUCGAACGAGACCUUCGGGGCUAGUGGCGUACGGGUGCGUAACGCGUGGGAAUCUGCCCUUGGUUUCGGAAUAACAGUUGGAAACGACUGCCAAUACAGGACGAUGACGUAAGUCCAAAGAUUUAUCGCCCAAGGAUGAGCCCGCGUAGGAUUAGCGAGUUGGUGAGGUAAAGGCACACCAAGGCGACGAUCCUUAGCUGGUCUGAGAGGAUGAUCAGCAACACUGGGACUGAGACACGGCCCAGACUCCUACAGGAUGCAGCAGUGGGGAAUAUUGGACAGUGGGCGAAAGCCUAAUCCAGCAAUGCGGCGUGAGUGAUAAAGGCCUUAGGGUUGUAAAGCUCUUUUGCCCGGGAUGAUAAUGACAGUACCUGAAGAAUAAGCUCCGGCUAACUCCGUG
RNAcentral lists this ribosomal RNA (433 nucleotides) under uncultured bacterium. RNAcentral describes it as "partial 16S ribosomal RNA". It matches the Rfam family "Bacterial small subunit ribosomal RNA", at positions 29 to 507 of the family's 1533-position model. The record is from RNAcentral.